CCUACGGGAGGCAGCAGUGGGGGAUAUUGCACAAUGGGGGGAACCCUGAUGCAGCGACGCCGCGUGGGUGAAGAAGCGCCUCGGCGCGUAAAGCCCUGUCAGCAGGGAAGAAAAUGACGGUACCUGAAGAAGAAGCCCCGGCUAACUACGUGCCAGCAGCAGCGGUAAUACGUAGGGGGCAAGGGUUAUCCGGAUUUACUGGGUGGAAAGGGGGCGCAGACGGCGAUGAAAGCCAGGAGUGAAAACCCGGGGCCCAACCCCGGGACUGCUCUUGGAACUGCGUGGCUGGAGUGCAGGAGGGGCAGGCGGAAUUCCUGGUGUAGCGGUGAAAUGCGUAGAUAUCAGGAGGAACACCGGUGGCGAAGGCGGCCUGCUGGACUGCAACUGACGUUGAGGCCCGAAAGCGUGGGGAGCAAACAGGAUUAGAUACCCUGGUAGUC
This 440-nucleotide ribosomal RNA is filed under the name uncultured bacterium. RNAcentral's name for it is "partial 16S ribosomal RNA". It matches the Rfam family "Bacterial small subunit ribosomal RNA", at positions 338 to 795 of the family's 1533-position model. The record is from RNAcentral.